RNAcentral lists this ribosomal RNA (374 nucleotides) under uncultured organism. RNAcentral's name for it is "bacterial SSU rRNA". It matches the Rfam family "Bacterial small subunit ribosomal RNA", at positions 526 to 896 of the family's 1533-position model. The record is from RNAcentral.
CGGGGGGAGCAAGCGUUGUUCGGAUUUACUGGGCGUAAAGGGCGCGUAGGCGGCCACCGCAAGUCGACUGUGAAAUCUCCGGGCUUAACCCGGAAAGGUCAGCCGAUACUGCGGGGCUAGAGUGCAGAAGGGGCAACUGGAAUUCUCGGUGUAGCGGUGAAAUGCGUAGAUAUCGAGAGGAACACCUGCGGCGAAGGCGGGUUGCUGGGCUGACACUGACGCUGAGGCGCGAAAGCUAGGGGAGCGAACGGGAUUAGAUACCCCGGUAGUCCUAGCCUUAAACGAUGAAUGCUUGGUGUCUGGGGUUUUAUAGUCCCCGGGUGCUGUCGCUAACGCUUUAAGCAUUCCGCCUGGGGAGUACGGUCGCAAGACUG